Long non-coding RNA from Homo sapiens (human), 1626 nucleotides. Ensembl annotates it as cytoplasmic endogenous regulator of oxidative phosphorylation 1. Its record names the gene CEROX1. Lineage: Eukaryota; Metazoa; Chordata; Mammalia; Primates; Hominidae. The record is from Ensembl.
GCCCCACGCCUGGAGCUCCCCUCUCUGGAGCCCCGGGAAAGGAAGCGGGGCAGGGAGGCCGGGUGGGAGCAGGGGGGUCUCCGGCGCUUCCUCUCCUCUGCGGGCGCCGCGCGGCUCCUGAGAGUCCGCCCCCCGUCCUGACGCUCAGCUAGGAAGCGGGUCCUCGGGCCCCUCCCCCGACACACACACACACACACACACACACACACACACACACACACACUCUCUCUCUCUCUCUCUCUCUCUCUCUCUCUCUCUCUCUCUCUCACACACACACACACACACACAGCCCGUCUCGCGCCUGAGGUCUCGCCCGCAGGCCGGUGGCGCGGGGUCAGCUGCUGCCUGCGGUCCAGGACAGGGUCGGUUCCGCCGCGCAGCGCCCAGGCCCAGCUCGUCCAGAGUCUGCGGACAGCGCACGUCCAGACAUCGCCCACUCGGGCUCACAGUGCCAUCCGGGUGAGGACCUCCGUGGAGAGCUCUCUUUGCCAAAGAAAAGCAGUUGCAUUAGGUCUGCGAGCAGGCAGGGUGGCCUCUUCCUGGCUCCCCAUCCACCAAGGAAGCUUCAAGUCCCUGGGACACAGGCACUUUCCCACACAGGAUGGAGCCGGGCCACCCUCACAGCUCCUGCCCUGCAGACGCUGGCCUUGUGGAGGGAGGCAGGCAGCAGGAGCAGUGCUUUCUGGGCCUCUGUAGCCAGAGCUGGCCCUGCUGCAGCUUACGUCUGCCUGCAGCCCAGACGUCCUCCUGGUCCUCCUGAUGCCCCCGACCUCCACGGAGGACGAGCAUUUCCAGCCCAGCCCUCCCCAUCUUCACCUCGCACUCCCCUGACACACUGGGAGCCUCCUGAUCCGUGAACCCGCGCUGGCGGGAGUAGCUACUGACCGCUGGGGACCCCUGCCCAGGCUGUUCGCAUGUGGAAAGGAUUCAGGGAGCAGGCGAUGCCCAAAGCGUGGAGACCAGCACUGCUCUCUCCCCAGUGACAGUACAGCUGUGCCGUGUACAGGAGGGUGCUGUCUGACGCCAGACACCUGGACUACAGAUCGCAGCCUGAUUCCUGGUCAUUGCUCCACUGAACCCCAGACCCCAGCCUCGUUCUGGGCCCUCAUCCCCUAGAUCCAGGGACCCCAGCCCCAUUUCAGCCCUUGGGCCCUUGUAGGAUGCGAGGCCCUGGGCCCCAGCCCCCAGCCCAUCCGUGGCCCAGGCACUGGGGGGCUGAGGUCCUCUGAGAAGGGACACAGGGCCUGGGGGGCUCUCUCAGCCCAUCAGCAGGAGAGGACUGACUCCAGAAAAAUCAGCGUUUGUACCCACUCAGGCUGCCAAGACCUGUGUCCGUCCUUCCAAGCUCAACCUUCAGAGUUCAUGAGGCCCCUUGCCCAGAAUGUCCACAGAGUUCAUGAGGCCCCUUGCCCGGAAUGUCCACAUUUGAAACCUCCCAACACCGAGCCCCAUUUCAAGUAUAACCAGGAGGGAAAAUGGUGCUUGAAAUAAGCAUGCCACAAAGGAAAACCUGCUUUCUCGAAAUGGGCCCUGGCCGCCCAGGCCCUGACCUCCCCGGCCAGGAUGGAACGUUCCAGAGACCCAUUAGUGCCAAAGGCAAAUGAAAACACACCCUGUGAAAAUGUC